GAUGAACGCUAGCGGGAGGCCUAACACAUGCAAGCCGAGCGGUAUUUGUUCUUCGGAACAGAGAGUGCGGCGCACGGGUGCGGAACACGUGUGCAACCUGCCUUUAUCUGGGGGAUAGCCUUUCGAAAGGAAGAUUAAUACCCCAUAAUAUAUUGAGUGGCAUCACUUGAUAUUGAAAACUCCGGUGGAUAGAGAUGGGCACGCGCAAGAUUAGAUAGUUGGUGAGGUAACGGCUCACCAAGUCAAUGAUCUUUAGGGGGCCUGAGAGGGUGAUCCCCCACACUGGUACUGAGACACGGACCAGACUCCUACGGGAGGCAGCAGUGAGGAAUAUUGGACAAUGGGUUAGCGCCUGAUCCAGCCAUCCCGCGUGAAGGACGACGGCCCUAUGGGUUGUAAACUUCUUUUGUAUAGGGAUAAACCUACUCUCGUGAGAGUAGCUGAAGGUACUAUACGAAUAAGCACCGGCUAACUCCGUG
This 479-nucleotide ribosomal RNA is filed under the name uncultured bacterium. Its description in RNAcentral is "partial 16S ribosomal RNA". It matches the Rfam family "Bacterial small subunit ribosomal RNA", at positions 28 to 507 of the family's 1533-position model. The record is from RNAcentral.